Molecule: long non-coding RNA, 414 nt
Organism: Thrips palmi
Lineage: Eukaryota; Metazoa; Arthropoda; Insecta; Thysanoptera; Thripidae
Exons: 2
Source: RefSeq, a predicted model, not a curated record
CGCCGCCCCGCGACCUGCAGCGGCGACGCGUGUCCGCCCCGGCGACCACCACGGACACGGCGGACGGACCCCGACUGGCGCCACACCGCCUGUCCUUCCCCAGCUCGCGACGAAAGCUCAGCGCCAUGACCCAGCGCAGCAACCAAUGAAGAUUUCAUUUAUGUGUCGUUUUAUUUAACUAGUGUUUUAACAAUUAAUGUGUUGUACGUUCCGGUGGUCUGCGCCCUCGGCUAAGUUCGUGAGUGAGGUGCGCGGUCGCUCGGAAGUCAAACCACUUAAUUGUACGGCCCGCGAAAGUUACUAGAUAGAUGUCCUAGGUUCCUAAUCUUAGUGAGAUUUUGUGAUUCUGUUAGUGAGAAAUGUGAUACUACGAAAUAAAUGUAUUUUUAUACGGCCCAGAGCGAAAUUCACUCA